RNAcentral lists this ribosomal RNA (462 nucleotides) under uncultured bacterium. RNAcentral's name for it is "partial 16S ribosomal RNA". It matches the Rfam family "Bacterial small subunit ribosomal RNA", at positions 28 to 507 of the family's 1533-position model. The record is from RNAcentral.
GACGAACGCUGGCGGCGUGCUUAACACAUGCAAGUCGAGCGGAAAGGCCCUUCGGGGUACUCGAGCGGCGAACGGGUGAAUAACACGUGAGUAACCUGCCCCAGACUUUGGGAUAACCCUCGGAAACGGGGGCUAAUACCGGAUACGACACAGCUUCGCAUGGGGUCUGUGUGGAAAGUUUUUCGGUUUGGGAUGGGCUCGCGGCCUAUCAGCUUGUUGGUGGGGUGAUGGCCUACCAAGGCGACGACGGGUAGCCGGCCUGAGAGGGCGACCGGCCACACUGGGACUGAGACACGGCCCAGACUCCUACGGGAGGCAGCAGUGGGGAAUAUUGCACAAUGGGCGGAAGCCUGAUGCAGCGACGCCGCGUGAGGGAUGACGGCCUUCGGGUUGUAAACCUCUUUCAGCAGGGACGAAGCGUAAGUGACGGUACCUGCAGAAGAAGCGCCGGCCAACUACGUG